This 253-nucleotide ribosomal RNA is filed under the name uncultured bacterium. RNAcentral's name for it is "partial 16S ribosomal RNA". It matches the Rfam family "Bacterial small subunit ribosomal RNA", at positions 524 to 776 of the family's 1533-position model. The record is from RNAcentral.
UACGUAGGUGGCAAGCGUUGUCCGGAUUUAUUGGGUUUAAAGGGUGCGUAGGUGGUCUAUUAAGUCAGUGCUGAAAUAUCCCGGCUUAACCGGGAGGGUGGCAUUGAUACUGAUGGACUUGAGUAAAGUUGAGGUGGGCGGAAUUGACGGUGUAGCGGUGAAAUGCGUAGAGAUGUGGAGGAACACCAGUGGCGAAGGCGGCUUUCUGGUCUGUAACUGACGCUGAGGCGCGAAAGCGUGGGGAGCAAACAGG